GACGAACGCUGGCGGCGUGCCUAAUACAUGCAAGUAGAACGCUGAAGCUUGGUGCUUGCACCGAGCGGAUGAGUUGCGAACGGGUGAGUAACGCGUAGGUAACCUGCCUGGUAGCGGGGGAUAACUAUUGGAAACGAUAGCUAAUACCGCAUAAGAGUAGAUGUUGCAUGACAUUUGCUUAAAAGGUGCAAUUGCAUCACUACCAGAUGGACCUGCGUUGUAUUAGCUAGUUGGUGAGGUAACGGCUCACCAAGGCAACGAUACAUAGCCGACCUGAGAGGGUGAUCGGCCACACUGGGACUGAGACACGGCCCAGACUCCUACGGGAGGCAGCAGUAGGGAAUCUUCGGCAAUGGACGGAAGUCUGACCGAGCAACGCCGCGUGAGUGAAGAAGGUUUUCGGAUCGUAAAGCUCUGUUGUAAGAGAAGAACGAGUGUGAGAGUGGAAAGUUCACACUGUGACGGUAUCUUACCAGAAAAGGACGGCUACUACGUG
RNAcentral lists this ribosomal RNA (496 nucleotides) under uncultured bacterium. RNAcentral's name for it is "partial 16S ribosomal RNA". It matches the Rfam family "Bacterial small subunit ribosomal RNA", at positions 28 to 507 of the family's 1533-position model. The record is from RNAcentral.